Molecule: ribosomal RNA, 253 nt
Filed under: uncultured bacterium
Lineage: Bacteria
Description: partial 16S ribosomal RNA
Rfam family: Bacterial small subunit ribosomal RNA
Source: RNAcentral
UACAGAGGUCUCAAGCGUUGUUCGGAUUCAUUGGGCGUAAAGGGUGCGUAGGCGGGGCGGUAAGUCGGGUGUGAAAUCUCGGAGCUUAACUCCGAAACUGCAUUCGAUACUGCCGUGCUUGAGGACUGGAGAGGAGACUGGAAUUUACGGUGUAGCGGUGAAAUGCGUAGAUAUCGUAAGGAAGACCAGUGGCGAAGGCGGGUCUCUGGACAGUUCCUGACGCUGAGGCACGAAGGCCAGGGGAGCAAACGGG